GUGAACGCCCUCACGGGCUUAUACUAUUCCAAACCUCUGUAAACCGUGCCCUUCGGGGCUAUUUUACAAACAUGGUGUAAUGAACGUCAUAUAUCAUAACAAAACA
Molecule: unclassified non-coding RNA, 106 nt
Filed under: soil metagenome
Description: partial internal transcribed spacer 1
Source: RNAcentral